This 644-nucleotide ribosomal RNA is filed under the name Bacillus infantis. RNAcentral's name for it is "bacterial SSU rRNA". It matches the Rfam family "Bacterial small subunit ribosomal RNA", at positions 22 to 649 of the family's 1533-position model. The record is from RNAcentral. Lineage: Bacteria; Bacillati; Bacillota; Bacilli; Caryophanales; Bacillaceae.
GCUCAGGACGAACGCUGGCGGCGUGCCUAAUACAUGCAAGUCGAGCGGACGGAUGGGAGCUUGCUCCCUGAAGUCAGCGGCGGACGGGUGAGUAACACGUGGGCAACCUGCCUGUAAGACUGGGAUAACUUCGGGAAACCGGAGCUAAUACCGGAUAAUGCAYAACCUCUCAUGAGGCUAUGCUGAAAGAUGGUUUCGGCUAUCACUUACAGAUGGGCCCGCGGCGCAUUAGCUAGUUGGUGAGGUAACGGCUCACCAAGGCAACGAUGCGUAGCCGACCUGAGAGGGUGAUCGGCCACACUGGGACUGAGACACGGCCCAGACUCCUACGGGAGGCAGCAGUAGGGAAUCUUCCGCAAUGGACGAAAGUCUGACGGAGCAACGCCGCGUGAGUGAUGAAGGUUUUCGGAUCGUAAAACUCUGUUGUCAGGGAAGAACAAGUGCCGGAGUAACUGCCGGCACCUUGACGGUACCUGACCAGAAAGCCACGGCUAACUACGUGCCAGCAGCCGCGGUAAUACGUAGGUGGCAAGCGUUGUCCGGAAUUAUUGGGCGUAAAGCGCGCGCAGGCGGUCUCUUAAGUCUGAUGUGAAAGCCCACGGCUCAACCGUGGAGGGUCAUUGGAAACUGGGGGACUUGAGUGC